UAAACCCUUGAACAAUGAAUGCUAGAUUUGUGCCCAACGUUGUGAUGGUGGAUGAUGUGGGAAUGUGGAUGGUUGUGUAACAUUGGUGAAAAGUUUGUAUUUGGAAGUUGCAUGAUGGAGCAUUGAUCAAUUUGUAAUAUGUAAAUGGCAUUGUUAUUCUUGAGACAGGCCAGCAUCGAGGGAGAAGUAAAGUUUUUUUUUCAUAUGUCAAUAAUUAAGAAUAUAUUUGAAAGGUUUAUUCAAUAAAUAAUUAAUAAUUUCAAUAAGGCAUAUUUUAUAGAUGAUAGAAAUUGUCAAAUAUAGGUUGUCUAGUUAGCUAGCAGAUGGAAGUUUAAUGGUUCUACUACGGUACAACCCCUUGUCUGAAACAUUGCACUUAGACUCACAUCUUCAUGUACCAAAAGAGCUGGAAUGUCGCCAUAUGACUUAAAAACAAACCAAUUGUUAUAUGUUGAGUUUAAACAGUUUAAGAUAAAAUAAAUAUUUACAUUUUGAGAUAAUUGUCCCCGGCCCUUGUCUUUAACAUACAUUGUACUUAGGGACACAUCUGCAAAUAAAGCUGGAGAGUUGUCAUGUGGCAUAAGAGCUGUGAUUACUGGAGCAAUGAAGGACUUGGCAGACACUGUGAAAGUUGAUCAAGACUGGUAUCGAUUCUUCGAGAGUCCCGGUGCUGAUAUACUCGCAAGAAGCAGUCGUGUUUGGGGCAGCUUUCUACACCUCUGUGCCGGCAGAUUUGUAAGAUUGGAAGUUGUUUCAGUGUGGAGAGAGAUGGACACGGUGUAUUGUUAGGUAAAACUUGCCCUUUGAUGUCACGGGUAGUUCUCAUUAAAGUAAACCCUUGAACAAUGAAUGCUAGAUUGGUGUCCAACGUUGUGAUGGUGGAUGAUGUCGGAAUGUGGAUGGUUGUGUAACAUUGGUGAAAAGUUUGUGUUGGGAAGUUGCAUGAUGGAGCAUUGGGACACAUCUGCAAAUAAAGCUGGAGAGUUGCCAUGUGGCAUAAGAGCUGUGAUUACUGGAGCAAUGAAGGACUUGGCAGACACUGUGAAAGUUGAUCAAGACUGGUAUCGAUUCUUCGAGAGUCCCGGUGCUGAUAUACUCGCAAGAAGCAGUCAUGUUUGGGGCAGCUUUCUACACCUCUGUGCCGGCAGAUUUGUAAGA
Molecule: long non-coding RNA, 1158 nt
Organism: Ruditapes philippinarum (Manila clam)
Lineage: Eukaryota; Metazoa; Mollusca; Bivalvia; Venerida; Veneridae
Exons: 3
Source: RefSeq, a predicted model, not a curated record